This 26-nucleotide non-coding RNA is filed under the name Mus musculus (house mouse). Lineage: Eukaryota; Metazoa; Chordata; Mammalia; Rodentia; Muridae. The record is from RNAcentral. RNAcentral also lists the same sequence under 3 other names.
CAAGAAGUAGUUUAAUUAGAAUAUCA